CGGCGGACGGGUGAGUAACGCGUGGGUAACCUGCCUCAUACAGGGGGAUAACAGUUGGAAACGGCUGCUAAUACCGCAUAAGCCCACGGGUCGGCAUCGACCUGAGGGAAAAGGAGCAAUCCGCUUUGAGAUGGCCUCGCGUCCGAUUAGCUAGUUGGUGAGGUAACGGCCCACCAAGGCGACGAUCGGUAGCCGGACUGAGAGGUUGAACGGCCACAUUGGGACUGAGACACGGCCCAG
RNAcentral lists this ribosomal RNA (240 nucleotides) under uncultured bacterium. RNAcentral describes it as "partial 16S ribosomal RNA". It matches the Rfam family "Bacterial small subunit ribosomal RNA", at positions 96 to 334 of the family's 1533-position model. The record is from RNAcentral.